This 503-nucleotide ribosomal RNA is filed under the name uncultured bacterium. Its description in RNAcentral is "partial 16S ribosomal RNA". It matches the Rfam family "Bacterial small subunit ribosomal RNA", at positions 30 to 523 of the family's 1533-position model. The record is from RNAcentral.
AUUGAACGCUGGCGGCAGGCUUGACACAUGCAAGUCGAGCGGAGUGAUGGUGCUUGCACUAUCACUUAGCGGCGGACGGGUGAGUAAUGCUUAGGAAUCUGCCUAUUAGUGGGGGACAACAUCUCGAAAGGGAUGCUAAUACCGCAUACGUCCUACGGGAGAAAGCAGGGGAUCACUUGUGACCUUGCGCUAAUAGAUGUGCCUAAGUCGGAUUAGCUAGUUGGUGGGGUAAAGGCCUACCAAGGCGACGAUCUGUAGCGGGUCUGAGAGGAUGAUCCGCCACACUGGGACUGAGACACGGCCCAGACUCCUACGGGAGGCAGCAGUGGGGAAUAUUGGACAAUGGGGGGAACCCUGAUCCAGCCAUGCCGCGUGUGUGAAGAAGGCCUUAUGGUUGUAAAGCACUUUAAGCGAGGAGGAGGCUCUUUUGGUUAAUACCCAAGAUGAGUGGACGUUACUCGCAGAAUAAGCACCGGCUAACUCUGUGCCAGCCGCCGCAGUAA